CGGCAAACCUGACCAUGACUCCAUUUUGCUCUUACCGUCCUUUCGGCAGAAACUCAAACAGGAUGUACCCGUGACUAGAACUAUUCAACGCUGAUCUGUCCAAUCAUUUUAAGAUUGUUUUGAUCACCUGGACUGGGAAAUAUUCCAGGCAGCCUCAGAGAAUAACAUCGAUUUAUAUGCUGAUUUGACUCUCCUCACAGCCCUCCUCCUUCACCAGCAGCACCUCUGGACCCUCCUCCUCCUGGAAGAGACAGGUGAUACAGAUUACACAGACAUACACUUCCUCAGAUAAUCUCAGCUUGGAUGUCAGCCCACCACCUCAAGCUCAAUCUCGACAAGACAGAGCUGCCCAUCUUCUGGGGGAAGGCCUGCCUGCUCCAAGACCUCUCCAUCAUGGUUGACAAUUCCAUGGUGUCCCUCUCCCAGAGUGCAAAGAACCUUCAUGUGACCCUUGACAACAC
RNAcentral lists this long non-coding RNA (461 nucleotides) under Salmo salar (Atlantic salmon). Its description in RNAcentral is "lncRNA (ENSSSAG00000091542.1)". The record is from RNAcentral. Lineage: Eukaryota; Metazoa; Chordata; Actinopteri; Salmoniformes; Salmonidae.